This 412-nucleotide unclassified non-coding RNA is filed under the name soil metagenome. Its description in RNAcentral is "partial contains 5.8S ribosomal RNA, internal transcribed spacer 2, and large subunit ribosomal RNA". The stretch from base 1 to 120 matches the Rfam family "5.8S ribosomal RNA", at positions 35 to 154 of the family's 154-position model. The record is from RNAcentral.
GAUGAAGAACGUAGUGAAAUGCGAUACGUAGUGUGAAUUGCAGAAUUCCGUGAACCAUCAAAUCUUUGAACGCAUAUUGCGCUCGAGGCUUCGGCCGAGAGCAUGUCUGCCUCAGCGUCGGUAUUACCCCUCGCUUCUCAACCCCUGGUUGAUGCCUGCCUGCCUUUGCAGUUGGCUAGAAGCGGAUCUGGCUUUCCCAAUUGCCUUUGGUAGUUGGGUCAGCUGAAGCACAGAGGCUUGAGCAAGGACCCUUAUUGGGCUUCAACUGGAUAGGUAGAACUGGUCUUAGGACCAACUACACGAAGUUGUUGAUUGUGGUCUUUGUCUGGAGGCCAGCAGGAAACCUUUAUACCUUCGACCUGAGCUCAGGCAAGAUUACCCGCUGAACUUAAGCAUAUCAAUAAGCGGAGGA